RNAcentral lists this ribosomal RNA (320 nucleotides) under uncultured eukaryote. RNAcentral describes it as "partial 18S ribosomal RNA". It matches the Rfam family "Eukaryotic small subunit ribosomal RNA", at positions 1470 to 1796 of the family's 1831-position model. The record is from RNAcentral.
CCCCUAGAUGUUCUGGGCCGCACGCGCGCUACACUGAACAGUUCAACAAGUCUUAACCUUGGCCGAUAGGUCUGGGUAAUCUUUGAACGCUGUUCGUGAUUGGGAUAGACCUUUGCAAUUAUGGGUCUUCAACGAGGAAUUCCUAGUAAACGCAAGUCAUCAGCUUGCAUUAAUUACGUCCCUGCCCUUUGUACACACCGCCCGUCGCACCUACCGAUUGAAUGGUCCGGUGAAAUCUCGGGACGGCGGCUUGGUCGCUUGCGUCCGACUGCUGAAACUUGAUUAAACCAUAUCAUUUAGAGGAAGGUGAAGUCGUAACA